GACGAACCGUGCGAACGUUGUUCGGAUUCACUGGGCUUAAAGGGCGCGUAGGCGGACUCGAUAGUCUGUGGUGAAAGCCCCCAGCUCAACUGGGGAAGUGCCGUGGAUACUGCGAGUCUGGAGGAGGGUAGGGGCGUCUGGAACGCUGGGUGGAGCGGUGAAAUGCGUUGAUAUCCAGCGGAACUCCGGUGGCGAAGGCGAGGCGCUGGACCCUUUCUGACUCUGAGGCGCGAAAGCCAGGGGAGCAAACGGG
RNAcentral lists this ribosomal RNA (253 nucleotides) under uncultured Zavarzinella sp. RNAcentral describes it as "partial 16S ribosomal RNA". It matches the Rfam family "Bacterial small subunit ribosomal RNA", at positions 524 to 776 of the family's 1533-position model. The record is from RNAcentral. Lineage: Bacteria; Pseudomonadati; Planctomycetota; Planctomycetia; Gemmatales; Gemmataceae.